GAUGAACGCUGGCGGCGUGCCUAAUACAUGCAAGUCGAGCGGACAGACGAGGAGCUUGCUCCUCUGACGUUAGCGGCGGACGGGUGAGUAACACGUGGAUAACCUACCUAUAAGACUGGGAUAACUUCGGGAAACCGGAUCUAAUACCGGAUAAUAUAUUGAACCGCGGGGAUCAUUGGUGCAAGACGGCUUUGCUGGCACGUAUAGAUGGUUCCGCGCUGGAUUAGCUAGUUGGUACGGUAACGGCCUACCAAGGCAACGAUGCGUAGCCGACCUGAGAGGAUGAUAGGCCACACUGGAACUGAGACACGGUCCAGACUCCUACGGGAGGCAGCAGUAGGGAAUCUUCCGCAAUGGGCGAAAGCCUGACGCAGCAAUGCCGCGUGAGUGAUGAAGGCCUUCGGAUCGUAAAGCUCUGUUGUUGGGGAAGAACAGAUGUGUAAGUAAACAAGGACGUCUUGACGGUACCUGAUCAAAAAGCACCGGCUAACUACGUG
Molecule: ribosomal RNA, 497 nt
Filed under: uncultured bacterium
Lineage: Bacteria
Description: partial 16S ribosomal RNA
Rfam family: Bacterial small subunit ribosomal RNA
Source: RNAcentral